Long non-coding RNA from Gossypium raimondii (Peruvian cotton), 633 nucleotides. RefSeq lists it as uncharacterized. The transcript is spliced from 3 exons. The record is from RefSeq and is a predicted model, not a curated record. NCBI's taxonomy places the organism in Eukaryota, Viridiplantae, Streptophyta, Magnoliopsida, Malvales, Malvaceae.
GGAAUAUCUAGAAUUCUCUUCAUAUUUUCUGCACUCUCAUCAGCCAAAAACAUCCUAAGGGUUUCUUCAAGCUAUUUUUUCAUAAUUUUUGCACCAAAAAGUUCAAAUACGAAGCUAGAUCGAGGAAAAGAAAAAGUUCGGGAUUAGUAGAUUUUUUGUUUACGAACAAUUAUCGAGAGUUAAGAGCUCGGAGGUCGGAUUUGGUCAGAGACACAUCACACCAUCAACCUCAAGAUCUCGGUACAUAAAGAAACUUUAUUUUGGAAAUCAAUGGCAUGUAUAAGCUAGUAAAGUAGAUGUUAAUAUGGAAUGAAUGUAUGGUUAGCCAUUAAUAUGGCUAACAAAUUUUGGUUUUGGUAUGUGAUAAGAUUAUCUUAUGAAUACAGUAAAUCUAUCUUGAAAAUAUUUUGAAAUGGAUUGGUUGUGUUGGAUUGGUCUCAGUUUUAAAAUUUUAGGGAAGAGUAGAUAUUUAUAAACGGGUUAUAUUGAGUUAAAAAAAAUUUAUUCAGUAAAAUCUGGUAAUACCUCGUAUCCUAUUCCGGCGACGGAUACGGGUAGGGGUGUUACAUAUUGACAUUAUUAAUAAUUAAAAUAAAUUUGAUUAAAUUUGUAUAGUAUAAUACAAAAAAUUAA